GGAUUGGUGCCUUCGGGAACUGUGAGACAGGUGCUGCAUGGCUGUCGUCAGCUCGUGUUGUGAAAUGUUGGGUUAAGUCCCGCAACGAGCGCAACCCUUAUCCUUUGUUGCCAGCGGUCCGGCCGGGAACUCAAAGGAGACUGCCAGUGAUAAACUGGAGGAAGGUGGGGAUGACGUCAAGUCAUCAUGGCCCUUACGACCAGGGCUACACACGUGCUACAAUGGCGCAUACAAAGAGAAGCGACCUCGCGAGAGCAAGCGGACCUCAUAAAGUGCGUCGUAGUCCGGAUUGGAGUCUGCAACUCGACUCCAUGAAGUCGGAAUCGCUAGUAAUCGUGGAUCAGAAUGCCACGGUGAAUACGUUCCCGGGCCUUGUACACACCGCCCGUCACACCAUGGGAGUGGGUUGCAAAAGAAGUAGGUAGCUUAACCUUCGGGAGGGCGCUUACCACUUUGUGAUUCAUGACUGGGGUGAAGUCGUAACAAGGUAACCGUAGGGG
This 500-nucleotide ribosomal RNA is filed under the name uncultured bacterium. RNAcentral's name for it is "bacterial SSU rRNA". It matches the Rfam family "Bacterial small subunit ribosomal RNA", at positions 1008 to 1508 of the family's 1533-position model. The record is from RNAcentral.